GCUAAUCAACGUCAGGCGUCCUUAUGUACAGCCACCGUUGUUCUCAUAGAUAUGAAUGAGUAGAUAGGACACGCCCCUUUGAGCUGCGUGCUACAGCGAGGCUAAGCUAGUGGGGGAGAAGUUUCAGUGCAUUCCGUUGAUGUAGACGGCGUGAAAACGGAAACAAGAAGUAUGCCGUCUCACUGUACUGCAUACAGUUACACACUACGUCGUACGAUUGAGACAAGGAAACUUGGAAUGACUUUUCAUAGGUUUCCCAGAGACUAUGGGUUGAGGAGGAAUUGGAAGUUUGUCGGCUUAGACCUGGUGUCAUUCCAUCAGUGUUUAACUUCCCGGCUCAUCUUGGAAGAGUACGUGCCAGAAAGACCACGACCAAGCAGCCUUGAGAUCUUAGGCAGCGUCUCCCUCAGGUCCCUCUCUGUCUCCCCACACAUCCACCAACCACUGGAACACAUCUCCAAAGUUCUGCAGGGCCAGCUCAGCUUCCCCUCAGAAGAAGUGCUGCCACCUGCCAGAUGAAGGAGCCUUUUGAGAGGCAGCUGGCAUCGUGAUUGGACUGUACUUUGGUCUGUUCCAAUCCAGCUUCAGCUCCAGAGACGGCAGGCGGGACGAGUCAACGGAGGCCGGGUGGACGAAGGCAUGCAGCUGAGUACAAUCCAGAAAACAACAGAGGAGGAGUGAAGCGGCCCAGAGCCAGAACAAGCAGAGUAGCAUCUUGCUGUAAAAAGUCAGUCCAUCCUGGCCGACAUCAACACCUCUUCAUGACAACUUGUUCUGCCUCCGACCUCGUGGAAACUCCAGAAACUCGGGAAAACCUGUGGAGACUCGAAGAACUCGUGGAGACUCGAAGAACUCGUCGGGUGGGGGAAGGUGUGGUGGGGAGGUGGGGGAGUAGAGGGGUGAGGCCGCCACCCACCUCCCCGCCUACUCUCCGCCCUGACUCCACCCAGGCUCCGCCUCAGCUCCACCCAUGUGGUCACUUGGAAACUACGAUGCCAAAGGGACGACGAAUUUAUUUCUUUUUAUCUGAUCUGUAGCUCAGUGAGUUAAGGAUUUGCCUAUGGAGCUGCAGGUCGCUGGUUCAAGACCAGACACUUCUUAAAUUUUCUCAAAAUCCUGACAAAGACAAACAAAGAAAAAGGCCGGUGGCGGGUCUUGAACCUGCGACCUUCCACUUGGUAGUCCUCUUCUUAUCCCCCUGAGCUACUCGCUCAGAUACUAAAACUUCUUUUUUUUGCGCAUUUAUCAUCUAUUUUUUGUCAUUUUCGAGUUUUUUUUUAACUCGAGUCUCGUCUCGACCGUUUUUCUCAGGAGGUUGGACUUCAGCCUUUGUGCUGGAGGGUGGAACCCUCAGUUCCAAGACUUUCCAAAGCCUCCAGACCUCCCGAGUCCUCAGGACCUGAGCUUUCAGACAGUCUGAGGGCUGAAAUUUUCUAAGUCCCACAGUAGUUCUCUGUUAGUUUGAACCUUCAGACAGUCUGAGGACUGAAUUCUUAAAAGUUCUUGAGUAGUUCUCUGUUAGUUUGAACCUUCAGACAGUCUGAGGACUGAAAUCUUAAAAGUUUCUCAGUACUUCUCUGUUAGUUUGAACUUUCUGGUUAACAGAAGCCUUAAAACUUGUGACCAUGAGUCUUGAUUUCACAUUUAGACCAUCCAUCUGAGUUCUUCUCAGACCUUCACCUGUGGGUUUUUUAGAAAUCCUGAACAAACUUUGAUUCUCUUCACUGAACAGUAAAGUUUGUGGAGAUCAGAAGGUAACGUUAGUUUGAUCAAUGCCUUCAACUACUAGUAGACUUUAUCUGGAAAUCAGUUUUCUGAAAUGAGUUCUUAGUAAAUCUGUCCACAAUCAAACCAAGAACAUAGAAAGAGGAAAUGUUUGAAGAAACAACUUGAUGUUUUCAUUUCAGACUAGAAAACACUAUCUGUUUUUGCUCUUUUUGAUCCUUUUAUUGUCUCUUCUGUUUAAUUUGAUCUUCUAAAGUUUAACUGGUG
Molecule: long non-coding RNA, 1992 nt
Organism: Amphiprion ocellaris (clown anemonefish)
Lineage: Eukaryota; Metazoa; Chordata; Actinopteri; Pomacentridae
Source: Ensembl